GACGAACCUGACGAACGUUAUUCGGAAUCACUGGGCUUAAAGGGUGCGUAGGCUGUGCAGAAAGUUGGGUGUGAAAUCCCUCGGCUUAACCGAGGAACGGCGCCCAAAACUACUGUGCUCGAGUGAGAUAGAGGUGAGCGGAACUUAGGGUGGAGCGGUGAAAUGCGUUGAUAUCCUAAGGAACACCGGUGGCGAAAGCGGCUCACUGGGUCUCAACUGACGCUGAGGCACGAAAGCUAGGGUAGCGAACGGGAUUAGAUACCCCGGUAGUCCUAGCCGUAAACGAUGAGCACUGGGUUGAAGGGUCCUCCAUAGCCCUUCAGCCGUAGCGAAAGUGUUUAGUGCUCCGCCUGGGGAGUAUGGUCGCAAGGCUGAA
RNAcentral lists this ribosomal RNA (376 nucleotides) under uncultured bacterium. RNAcentral describes it as "bacterial SSU rRNA". It matches the Rfam family "Bacterial small subunit ribosomal RNA", at positions 524 to 898 of the family's 1533-position model. The record is from RNAcentral.